CACAAAAGUGUAGUGGAAGUGACGACAUAUAGUACGCGUCAUGAGGACGUCAUAUCGAUCAGGUGACUGGAGGCAGCCAAUCUGCGGUGAGCCUUCGCCACAACUGGGACAAACAAACUGGGGCAGCUGCCGGCGUGGAUGGUGGUUUCUGGCGCCCGGCGAGGUGUUAGCAAUAAGAGAUAGAUACGAGAUACUAGCAGUUAAGAUUACUAAACCGACGCACAAGUGAUACGAUGGAUAGAGCAGCCCUCCUCUGCUCUUUCGAUAUAUAAGAGCAUAUGUUGGCUCUUCAGAAGGGGAUGCAGUUAGUGCAUUUAUGCACGUUUCACACAGCAGGGACUUCUGAAGUUUGCGCACAACAAAUCCUGCUAUCUUGGCAGCAGUUGCCUUCGAUCGCUUGUCCCGUUCAAGACCUCUUCAGAAUGUGCGGCUCUUGCACUGCUCACAUGGAGUAUCGCAAUGUGCUCCUGUGGCAA
This is a long non-coding RNA of Ornithodoros turicata, 476 nucleotides long. RefSeq lists it as uncharacterized. The record is from RefSeq and is a predicted model, not a curated record. The transcript is spliced from 3 exons. Lineage: Eukaryota; Metazoa; Arthropoda; Arachnida; Ixodida; Argasidae.